AAUACGACUCCGUUUACAACUACACACACACUCACACAAACACACACACGUAUCGUAAAGAUUAAUGAAAAUCGCAUGGGAAAAUGAAAUAUGAAACGCUUCAGGAGAGCGCGUCCACGUCCACAUGAGUGGCUCUUGGCUCUGGAGGAGAUUCAUGACCAGCGGGAGAGGAGAAGGAGAAUGGGAGAGUUGACAUUUUCAACCACCGCGACGAUGAGAUGACGAUCAUAUGGGCAAACGCUGCAGGGGAGCCGAACAAACGCCGCCUAGACGCAGAGCAGAAGAAAACGAAGAGGAAGGGAUGCAGAAUCAGUAGCAAAAGCAGCGGGAGCAUUGCCAUUGCAAAGGGAACACAGCCAGAUAGUUGGAGCGCAAGAGAGAAGAGUGAGCCAGAGAGCCAACGUGUGAAGCGAAACUAAUUGGCAAAUUGAUAUUACAGCAAUAAUACCAAAAGAAAUACCACAAAUUACUAUACAGUGGUAACAUGCGGGUGUACUUAAAGAAGAGAAAGAAGUCAUAUAGAGAGACAUAUUCAGCGCUCACUCUACUUCGGACCCCACCCCACCCACCACGAUACCCUUACUUUAUAGGCUAAUCAAAUCACUGAAGCAGCGAUAGAGAGGGGGAUCUCUCCAUGGAGCACUUGAAGAACCAUCCCCAACACGAACCGAAAAAAGAAAAGAAAACCAGUUUUAUAGAAUUCACGAAAAAGACUCCGCAACGAUCGGUUUUAUGGGAACUGAAGGCCGUUCAAAGACAGUUUGUAUACCCUUUCAGAUGGUAGGGUAAUAAAGUUUUAGUCAAAAGAGU
Molecule: long non-coding RNA, 810 nt
Organism: Drosophila obscura
Lineage: Eukaryota; Metazoa; Arthropoda; Insecta; Diptera; Drosophilidae
Exons: 3
Source: RefSeq, a predicted model, not a curated record